GAUGAAGUACGCAGUGAAAUGCGAUACGUAAUGUGAAUUGCAGAAUUCAGUGAAUCAUCGAGUCUUUGAACGCACAUUGCGCCCCCUGGUAUUCCGGGGGGCAUGCCUGUCCGAGCGUCAUUGCUGCCCUCAAGCACGGCUUGUGUGUUGGGCCUCCGUCCUCCUCCCGGGGGACGGGCCCGAAAGGCAGCGGCGGCACCGCGUCCGGUCCUCGAGCGUAUGGGGCUUCGUCACCCGCUCUUGUAGGCCCGGUCGGCGCUUGCCGACACAUCAAUCUUUUUUCCAGGUUGACCUCGGAUCAGGUAGGGAUACCCGCUGAACUUAAGCAUAUCAAUAAGCGGAGGA
This 345-nucleotide unclassified non-coding RNA is filed under the name soil metagenome. RNAcentral's name for it is "partial contains 5.8S ribosomal RNA, internal transcribed spacer 2, and large subunit ribosomal RNA". The stretch from base 1 to 120 matches the Rfam family "5.8S ribosomal RNA", at positions 35 to 154 of the family's 154-position model. The record is from RNAcentral.